This 1145-nucleotide long non-coding RNA is filed under the name Heterocephalus glaber (naked mole-rat). Its description in RNAcentral is "lncRNA (ENSHGLG00000046152.1)". The record is from RNAcentral. Lineage: Eukaryota; Metazoa; Chordata; Mammalia; Rodentia; Bathyergidae.
CUUUGAAAAAGUCUAAUUAAAAAAAUCCAUGAUAUUUUCUGGUAUGAAAGUUUGACAGUAUUAAUAUUUUUUUUAUAUUUUCUUAAAUCAUUAAACCAUUUUAAUAUAUGUUAAUUACUAAUAAAUGGUUUAUUCUUUCUAACUCCAUAUAAGCUUUUCCAGCAAAGAUUUUAAUAACACAUUUAUGUUCUCAUUUUUCUACAGAUAUAAGUAAAUUUAUAUUUAAAAAUACCAAAAAAUAAAUAUAUAUAUGUAUGUAUACAUACCAUACACGCACACACACACACACACACACACACACACAAUUAUAGAGGACCCUUAGGUUGUCUGAGCCCAGCUACCUUCAUUUUUAGUACUGUGUUGUCGGGCUGUUUCCAGGCCUCAGGUGUUGUCUUUUGUGCUGUGUGGGGAUAUCAUUGCUGCCUGUACUUAAUGAUCCUUUCACCGUGGGUUCUGAACGUUCACCUCACCAUGUUUACAGAAAACUGUUUUGUACAUAGAGUUCUUCAGGCACACGCUUUGCACCAACCCAGUGUGGCUCUUGUCUGUAUUAGCUGUCACAGUGUACACACUAAUCUCUGUUAGAGUUCUUUGUGGCUGUUUUACUUGUAAGAUAGUUUUCUAUUUCCUUCAGUAAUGUGUCCAGAGUACCCUGUAUUUCGAGUUCUAUUAUAUUGAAGUACUUUUGUUUUAAUAGUGCCUCCCCAAAGACCUCACCCUGGACAGAAGUCAGUCCUUGAUGCCCCAGUGCAAGUGACAUCGCUAAUUGUCACUUUCUAGUUUGUUCUUCUCUAAGAAGACAGUUCGUAAUUGCAACUCUGUGGGCUGUGAGACUGUGUGAAGCUGUUUGUGUAGUUUCCGUGUAGGUGCUGUGUUCCCAGCAGUUCUGAACACUGGUAAUUCCAGGUGCUGCGCUCGGCAGAGGGGUCUCGCCAAAGCGCAUAUGUGUGUGUGCGUGUGUGUGCGUGCGUGAGAGUGUGUCCUUGGCAUGGCCGGGCGUGGCUGCCUUGCUCAGGCAUCAGCAGGACAUUUUGUGAAUAGUUACAAUGCUUCCAAACUGGAACUCUACAUUUUGUAUCUUACUUUUAAAGCUCCUAUAAGUGAAAUACCUAUUCGCUUUAUUAAAAAAUAUACAUUUAAUAAUA